Molecule: long non-coding RNA, 284 nt
Filed under: Mytilus galloprovincialis (Mediterranean mussel)
Lineage: Eukaryota; Metazoa; Mollusca; Bivalvia; Mytilida; Mytilidae
Source: RNAcentral
GGUCAAGUUCAAUAAUGACGAUUUUGACUUUUACCGUUCAGGAGUUAUGGUUCUUGAAAGAUCGUAAAAUGGCGUUUCCAUUCACGUUGUUGCAUUUACUCAUGAACCAUUCAAUCUAAGCUUUUCAAAUUUUAAUAUGUUGAUACUGAUGACAAAAUGGAGGUCAAAUUUGAUAUUGACGAUUUUCACUUUCACCAUUCAUCAGUAAUGGUUCUUGUGAUAUUGCCAGGACACAAAUAAAUGUUAAUAAAUCCGGUUUGCUGUCAUUGUGACAGCCUCUUGUU